This 1227-nucleotide long non-coding RNA is filed under the name Citrus sinensis (sweet orange). RNAcentral's name for it is "long non-coding RNA (CSIN_LNC004399)". The record is from RNAcentral. Lineage: Eukaryota; Viridiplantae; Streptophyta; Magnoliopsida; Sapindales; Rutaceae.
UAGCUCUUCUCUAGCAGCAACUCUUUUCACCUCAUCUAUCAUCAUCAUCAAUGGCAGUGGCGAUUCAUCUCUUCUUCACUUUCCUAGCUUUUCUUCUUUCAGGGUUAAUUUUCUUUCUAGCUUCCCGGAAAACAAAAUCAAAACGUCCGAAUCUUCCUCCAGGCCCUCCGGGCUGGCCAGUUGUUGGCAAUCUCUUCCAAGUAGCUCGCUCCGGCAAGCCUUUCUUCAAAUACGUCGAUGAUCUUCUCCCAAUAUACGGUCCGAUUUUCACCCUCAGGAUGGGAACAAGAACCAUGAUCAUCCUGAGCGACGCCAAGCUAGUCCACGAAGCCCUCAUCGAAAAGGGUAGUCUCUUCGCCACUCGCCCUAGAGAAAACCCUACCAGAACCAUCUUCAGCUGCAACAAGUUCACCGUCAACGCCGCCCUUUACGGGCCCGUCUGGCGGUCCCUGCGAAGAAACAUGGUGCAGAACAUGCUCAGUUCAAGCAGAAUUAGGGAGUUCCGUGAAGUCAGAAACAAGGCAAUGGAUAAAUUAAUCAACAGGCUCAAAGCUGAAGCCGAAGCUACCAACGGAAUCGUUUGGGUGCUUAAAAACGCCCGUUUCGCCGUGUUCUGUAUCCUACUAGCUAUGUGUUUUGGGAUUGACAUGGAUGAGAAGACGAUUGAGAAAAUGGAUCAAGUGAUGAAGAGUGUGUUGAUUGUUUUGGAUCCGAGAAUCGACGAUUAUUUGCCAAUUUUGAGUCCUUUUUUUUCCAAGCAAAGGAAGAGAGCACGGGAAGUGAGGAAAGAGCAAGUUGAUUUUAUGGUACCCUUUAUUGAAUUGCGGAGAAAAAUGCUUCAGAAUCCAGGAUCUGACAAAACGGCAAUGUCGUUUUCGUACUUGGACACUCUAUUUGACCUGAAAAUUGAAGGGAGAACAUCAGGGCCGUCCAAUGAAGAGCUAGUCACGCUCUGCUCGGAGUUUCUCAACGGUGGGACCGACACGACGGCUACGGCGGUAGAGUGGGGGAUAGCGCAGCUGAUUGCUAACCCUGGUGUUCAGGAAAAAGUCUAUGAUGAGAUUAAACGGACGGUUGGUGAUGAUCCUGAUCGAAAAGUUGACGAGAAGGAUGUUGAAAAAAUGCCUUAUUUACAAGCCGUGGUGAAAGAAUUGUUACGUAAACACCCACCGACUUACUUCUCUUUAACCCAUGCAGUAACUGAGGCUACUACACUAGCUGGCUAUG